GGAAGAAAAGCAGGGGAUCGCAAGACCUUGUGCUUUAGGAGUGGCCGAUGUCUGAUUAGCUAGUUGGUAAGGUAAAAGCUUACCAAGGCGACGAUCAGUAGCUGGUCUGAGAGGACGUUCAGCCACACUGGGACUGAGACACGGCCCAGACUCCUACGGGAGGCAGCAGUGGGGAAUUUUGGACAAUGGGCGAAAGCCUGAUCCAGCAAUGCCGCGUGAGUGAAGAAGGCCUUCGGGUUGUAAAGCUCUUUCAGUCGAGAAGAAAAAGCUAUAUUAAAUAAAUAUAGCUAAUGACGGUAUCGAAAGAAGAAGCACCGGCUAACUACGUGCCAGCAGCCGCGGUAAUACGUAGGGUGCAAGCGUUAAUCGGAAUUACUGGGCGUAAAGGGUGCGCAGGCGGUACUGUAAGUCAGAUGUGAAAUCCCCGGGCUUAACCUGGGAACUGCGUUUGAAACUACAAAGCUA
Molecule: ribosomal RNA, 465 nt
Filed under: uncultured ammonia-oxidizing beta proteobacterium
Lineage: Bacteria; Pseudomonadati; Pseudomonadota; Betaproteobacteria
Description: bacterial SSU rRNA
Rfam family: Bacterial small subunit ribosomal RNA
Source: RNAcentral